Asterias rubens (European starfish) is the source of this 2478-nucleotide long non-coding RNA. RefSeq lists it as uncharacterized. Lineage: Eukaryota; Metazoa; Echinodermata; Asteroidea; Forcipulatida; Asteriidae. The record is from RefSeq and is a predicted model, not a curated record. The transcript is spliced from 4 exons.
AACAACAUGGCCGGACCUCUUCAACUGAGAGGAUUUGGACGCCGCUUUUCUCACAUAAUUUACAAUUUUUCUCUACAUGAAACUAACUUUAUGUUUUUAUUGCCCGUUCUGGGACAAUCCAAAGAACUGAACUAUACCUAUUAGAGGCAAUAAAAUCUGCCUUGAAGUCAAACAAAUUGCUGUAUAUAUGUGAGAGCGUCUUGGACCGGACCAAGGAAGAGGCAUGCGAGCAAAGGUGGGCGUGCACGGCAGGGCCUUUGUACUAAAGGGACCCCAACGAGGGACGGCAGCACACAGCCUCUACACUCGAUGAUUUCUUUCUGAGCUGUUGUGUCUUGAAGGAAGGUGUCUAUGGAAUGUGUGAUAUUGAAGAUUCUGGCUGUCAGUGAAGUUAAAGGUUUCUAUGGAGUGUGUAGUAUUGGUUUUUCUGACGAUGUGGAGUUUUACAAAGGUAAGACAAGAAUUUUUGGACAUCUUAAAGGUGAGGGACCGGCUAACCCGUUUCCUCCCCAUGUCUCAGACACCCUUGAUGUACAGAUACUUGUCAAUGUUGUCCUUAAGUUGUCCGUGUGGACUCUAGUGAUGCUUUUUGGUUUCUAGUAGCAUGUUGGUCAUGGCCAGUGAUGCUGUACAUUUUUUCUUUUUUAAGUCAAUGGAAAUUUUCUGGGAUGUUGAAGCUAAUGGAUCGACAUUGUCAUGUUUACUUUUCUGUUGCCAUAAAGCAAUUAGGUAUAAUAUGCUUAACUUUUUAAAAUCUUAACUGAACCAAAGCACAAUCCCUCCAUCCUUCUGCAUGUCAAAGUAGAUGCAACCCCAUACCUUCUGUCAGCAUUUAUGUAAAUAAUGCAAUUGUGCUGACAAAAUAAUUGUGUCAUUGAAUUUAAGUUGAUACAAAUUCUUGUCGGAAAUACUAAAAAAAGAUUAUUCGGAUAAGUUAAAAUAAACAGGAGAACAUCAAUAAAUUGCAAAAACAAUCUUAAUUUAAAAAAAAGAAAGAAUAUUUAAUGAAUAAUUUAGAAAUGCUAAAUUAUCUUUGAUAUUUCUGAUGUAAAGAUCACAAAAGUUUGUGACCCUCCCCCUCACAGUCAAUUGCUUAUAAAUCCUUGAAGGAGGAUUUAUAUAAAUAAGUUUUAGGGUAAAGCGCUCUUCUUCUUUUUGGUCUGAUAAAGUACUUAGAUUUUUAAUUUAUGACCCAGACAAUAUACAUACAUAAAAUCAGUAAAGAUAAAUAAAUACCGAAAUUCAACUUUAUAACCAUGUUUAGGGAAAACCCAUCUUGAACACAUAGACCUAUAUGAAGAAAGCUAACCAUGCAGUCACUUAGGCCAAAUAUUUUGAUAAAAUUUGAUUAAAAUUGCAAACAAAAGCGCUGCGACUAAAACAAUUGAAGAGAAGAGAGAAUUGACAACUUACCCAAAGCAAAUGUCAGAGUCUUGCACCACUUUUCAACCUGGUCCUGACGUCUGUGAGAUGCAGAUCCUGUGUGAAGAAUGUAUAAGUGAGAGGUAUGUAAGUAUAAUGGUGAGUCAGUGAGGCCUAAAAAAAUAGCAGAAUUCAGGCCCAGAAAAUAGACUAACUGCGUUUUGUUUAACAGGGUAGUCAUCAGGUAAUGUAUUUACUUAGUCUUGGUUUCAAGUGUCUGAUUUUUAGUUGUUCGCCUCAAACAUCUUUGCAAAAUGAAACAAUACAAAAACAUUGAAACAUUUAAAAAUGUAACCACUUGAGCCAAGACUAAGUAAUUGUGAAGAAUCUACCACUGGUGCGUGACCUGGGGACAGAUGGGCUCCAGAGGAAGUGACACUACCGGAAGUACAUUGACUGCAGUAAUCGUUAAGUAUCAUGGUAAAGUAUUAGGGGUAAGAUAAAGCUAACCCUUUUUCUUCACAGCUUCUAACCGCUUCUUUUUACAGGUGCUAAUGUUUCUUUUUGUUUUCCACAGAAAAAGAAAUGAACAUGACUUCAACCAUGGUCAGGUUAAGUAUCCCGGGGUGAAUUUCACAAAGAGUCCUGAAAGAGUCACUAGUCCUGAAACAAAUAGCUCAGUCCUAGGACGAGUAACUCUUCCUAACACAAGAUAACACUAGUCUUAACUUUUUGUGAAAUUGACCCCCGGUAAAGUAUUAGGGGUAAGGUUGGACAAAGCUAGCCACUUUUAUUUCACAGCUUUCUCGCCACUUCUUUUACAAGUGCUUAUGUUGUGUGUGUUUUUUUUGUGUUUUUUUUACAGCAUUAGAAGAAACCCUGUGACUCCAACCAUGGCUAAGUAUUACAAUUAGAACAACAGCAACUUCCUGGACUUCAGCCAAAAGUAUAAUUCGUAGGUCACAUACCAAAGCAGUAAGGAGCGAUUGAGAUCUCAGGAAUAGGCCUAGUUAAGGCAGAGUUGCACUACAGCGACAGCGAUAGUGAUAACGAUAACGAUCACGACGCAAAGAGAACGCAUUCUAUUGGUUGAAUAAGCAAGUGCGUACUCGGCGU